Long non-coding RNA from Halichondria panicea, 948 nucleotides. RefSeq lists it as uncharacterized. The record is from RefSeq and is a predicted model, not a curated record. NCBI's taxonomy places the organism in Eukaryota, Metazoa, Porifera, Demospongiae, Suberitida, Halichondriidae. The transcript has 2 exons.
UUGUAGUAUAUGUUUGAAAUUAGGCGUAUACUUCAAGUUGAAGCAAGUUUUGUUGAGUAAUGUAACAUGAUUUAGGGCUUUUACAUGGAGUUGCUAGUCUGUUACGGGUGGGACACAAAUUCUAGUCUGUUCCAAUGUUAUUAAGCUAAGUGUAUGCAGAGUUUUGUAAGUGUAUUCUCUUUGCAACAAUUUGUCAGUUGAGUUUUGUAGAUGGCACUACAUUGUGAAUAUAUCAUAAAUAGUGUGUAAACAAUACAAAGAGCAUAGUUAAAACAUUAUGUAUGGUUAAAUGUUCAGUCAUGUUUGCAUAUCUAUCAAUUCGUCUUUUACUCCAGGCCAGUGAUGACUUUUGUUUCUAUAUUCUCCUUGUCACUGUCACUGGUCUUCGCUGUCUGAGUCCAAUUCAAUUUCCGGCUCUUUCGUUUCAGCAAUCUCUCUGCAAAUGGACCAGAAGUACACCCUGGUCCACAGCCACAGUAAUAAUGGCUGUAUCCCACUGCUGCUAACAUUUAGAAAUGCUUAAAAACUCGCUAUUAUGUGGCAAAUAACGGUAUACUAAAUAAGCUGGGUAGGUUAGCUGAGCUUCUCUACAGUGGGGUAAGCAUAUACAGUGGUCUGUUCAGGCAAUUCCUGAUUAAAAAAAUUUUUGACCUGUAAUAUUAGCAUAUUUUUCGUACCACACAGAAUACAAGUACGACUGAUUUGGACGAUACUUGGAAUGUAUUGAGGAGGACAUCUGUUGGAUGUAAUACACAAAACUUAUUGUGUGCUCACAUCUCUCCAACUAGUACUAUUUUGUGGUUUUUUAUAUAGCAUUUUCAACGAUGCAUUUCUCGACUCUCAAUGGAUCGACACGAAAAAGUUAAACAAUUACGUAUAGAUGUUCAUCAAUCCUAUAAGAUAGCACUGAACAUGUUCAAAUUCAUCUCAUAUUUUUGCAACAAUUUG